RNAcentral lists this ribosomal RNA (433 nucleotides) under uncultured bacterium. Its description in RNAcentral is "partial 16S ribosomal RNA". It matches the Rfam family "Bacterial small subunit ribosomal RNA", at positions 29 to 507 of the family's 1533-position model. The record is from RNAcentral.
AACGAACGCUGGCGGCAGGCCUAACACAUGCAAGUCGAGCGAGGACUUCGGUUCUAGCGGCGGACGGGUGAGUAACGCGUGGGAAUGUGCCCUUCUCUACGGAAUAGCCCUGGGAAACUGGGAGUAAUACCGUAUACGCCCUUUUGGGGAAAGAUUUAUCGGAGAAGGAUCAGCCCGCGUUGGAUUAGGUAGUUGGUGGGGUAAUGGCCUACCAAGCCGACGAUCCAUAGCUGGUUUGAGAGGAUGAUCAGCCACACUGGGACUGAGACACGGCCCAGACUCCUACGGGAGGCAGCAGUGGGGAAUCUUAGACAAUGGGGGCAACCCUGAUCUAGCCAUGCCGCGUGAGUGAUGAAAGCCUUAGGGUUGUAAAGCUCUUUCAGCUGGGAAGAUAAUGACGGUACCAGCAGAAGAAGCCCCGGCUAACUCCGUG